This 63-nucleotide transfer RNA is filed under the name Dermacentor steini. RNAcentral's name for it is "tRNA-Ala". Lineage: Eukaryota; Metazoa; Arthropoda; Arachnida; Ixodida; Ixodidae. The record is from RNAcentral.
AGAAAAGUAUUUAAAAUAAAUAAAAGCUAAUUUGCAGUUAGAAAUUGAAUAGUAUCCUUUUCU